RNAcentral lists this ribosomal RNA (460 nucleotides) under uncultured bacterium. Its description in RNAcentral is "partial 16S ribosomal RNA". It matches the Rfam family "Bacterial small subunit ribosomal RNA", at positions 338 to 795 of the family's 1533-position model. The record is from RNAcentral.
CCUACGGGUGGCAGCAGUGAGGAAUAUUGGUCAAUGGACGCAACUCUGAACCAGCCAUGCCGCGUGCAGGAAGACGGCUCUAUGAGUUGAAAACUGCUUUUGUACGAGGGUAAACGCAGAUACGCGUAUCUGUCUGAAAGUAUCAUACGAAUAAGGAUCGGCUAACUCCGUGACAGCAGCCGCGGUAAUACGGAGGAUUCAAGCGUUAUCCGGAUUUAUAGGGUUUAAAGGGUGCGUAGGCGGUCGGAGAAGUUAGAGGUGAAAUCCCGAGGCUCAACUUCGGAAUUGCCUCUGAUACUGUUCGGAUAGAGAGUAGGUGCGGUAGGCGGAAUGUAUGGUGUAGCGGUGAAAUGCGUAGAGAUCAUACAGAACACCGAUGGCGAAGGCAGCUUACUAAGCUACUUCUGACGUUGAGGCACGAAAGCGUGGGGAGCAAACAGGAUUAGAUACCCCUGUAGUC